Molecule: long non-coding RNA, 1171 nt
Organism: Cyprinus carpio carpio
Lineage: Eukaryota; Metazoa; Chordata; Actinopteri; Cypriniformes; Cyprinidae
Source: Ensembl
AAUACACCAGUGAGGACACACACACACACACACACACACACAGAUAGGGAAGUGUGUGUUCACUGUGUCUGUGGCGCCCUCCUGUGGUCCAUCGAGGGAGAGACAGUGAAUGAUACACAAGGAAAGACACAGAAAGACAGACUAAAUGGCACAAUGUUCACACAUUAAUAAAACAUGAUCAUCAUAUCUGUGUAAGCAGUGUUGUGGGUAAUGCAUUACUAGUAAUGCAAGUUACGUAAUCAGGUUACUUUUUUCAAGUAACUAGUAAAGCAACGCAUUACUUUUUAAUAAGAAAAUAUCUGUUUACUUUCAGAUAAGUAAUAUAAGUUACUGUGUUUCUCAUGUAUUGACUGACGGCUCUCCUGUCAUCAUGUUGAGAGAAUCAGGAGUGCAGAGGCGUUGUGUGUGCUGUGUGAACAUGAUCUUACUGUAGUUCUAGACUAAUCUCAACAUGCAUUUACUCAUCUCACUCGCACAGAAACAGAUUCAGAAUUUCUCAAAAUACGGCAAAAUACAAACUCAGAAUAAAAUUCAGUAUGUAUCGCGCUUUAAACAAAACAUUGUGUCAAAGCAACUGAACAACAUUAAUUAGGAAAACAGUGUUUAAAUCAAAACCAAAUCUCCAUUGGUGACAGAAUGGAGAAAAAAAUCUUGUGAGAAACCAGGCUCAGUCGGGGGUCCAGUUCUCCUCUGACCAGAUGAAACCAGCAGUUCAAUUCCAGGCUGCAGCAAAGUCAGAUUGUGCAGAAGAAUCAUCUGUUUCCUGUGGUCUUGUCCUGGUGGCCGUCUAGGAGAAAAGUCUUGGCUGUGGAUCUGUGUCUGGGGCUCAUGUAGGUGUUCUGGUCUCUGCUGUCUUUCAGGGCUGUAGAGGUCCUUUCUAGGUGCUGAUCCACCAUCUGGGCUGGAUACGUACUGGAUCCGGGUGACUGCAGUGACCAUCUGAUCUGGAUACAGACUGGAUCUGGUGGCUACAGUGACCUCGGAAUAAGAGAGAAACAGACUGAUAUUAGACUGUUAUUUUAGUGUAGAUGCCAUUCUUCUAACGAUGUAGCAAGUACAUCGGGUGUUAUGGGAAGUGUUCCCAGUUCCGGUUUUUCUAGUUAAUGCAGCCUAAAAAUCCUUUAACGGAUUUAAGUAUUAGAAAUGUGUUAGUGUGUUAUGUGUAAGCCAG